Molecule: ribosomal RNA, 301 nt
Filed under: uncultured bacterium
Lineage: Bacteria
Description: partial 16S ribosomal RNA
Rfam family: Bacterial small subunit ribosomal RNA
Source: RNAcentral
CAGCAGCCGCGGGAAUACGUAGGGUGCAAGCGUUAAUCGGAAUUACUGGGCGUAAAGAGCUCGUAGGCGGUUUGUCGCGUCUGCUGUGAAAACUGGAGGCUCAACCUCCAGCCUGCAGUGGGUACGGGCAGACUAGAGUGCGGUAGGGGAGAUUGGAAUUCCUGGUGUAGCGGUGGAAUGCGCAGAUAUCAGGAGGAACACCGAUGGCGAAGGCAGAUCUCUGGGCCGUAACUGACGCUGAGGAGCGAAAGCGUGGGGAGCGAACAGGAUUAGAUACCCGCGUAGUCCCUGUCUCUUAUAC